UGGGGAAUCUUGCACAAUGGGGGCAACCCUGAUGCAGCGACGCCGCGUGAGCGAUGAAGCCCUUCGGGGCGUAAAGCUCUUUCGACCGGAACGAUAAUGACGGUACCGGGAGAAGAAGCUGCGGCUAACUACGUGCCAGCAGCCGCGGUAAUACGUAGGCAGCAAGCGUUGUUCGGAGUUACUGGGCGUAAAGAGUGCGUAGUCGGUUUUCUAAGUUCGGUGUGAAAUCUCCCGGCUUAACUGGGAGGGUGCGCCGAAGACUGGGAAGCUGGAGUGUGGGAAAGGCAGGCGGAAUUCCUGGUGUAGCGGUGAAAUGCGUAGAUAUCAGGAGGAACACCGGCGGUGUAGACGGCUUGCUAGACCAUAACUGACGCUGAGGCACGAAAGCGUGGGUAGCAAACA
RNAcentral lists this ribosomal RNA (402 nucleotides) under uncultured bacterium. RNAcentral describes it as "bacterial SSU rRNA". It matches the Rfam family "Bacterial small subunit ribosomal RNA", at positions 355 to 774 of the family's 1533-position model. The record is from RNAcentral.